GCCCCCGUAGCUCAGUCGGACAGAGCACUUGCCUUCUAAGCAAGGGGUCGUGGGUUCGAUUCCCAUCGGGGGCA
This 74-nucleotide transfer RNA is filed under the name Candidatus Aenigmatarchaeota archaeon. RNAcentral's name for it is "tRNA-Arg". It matches the Rfam family "tRNA". From Rfam's summary of the family: Transfer RNA (tRNA) molecules are approximately 80 nucleotides in length. Their secondary structure includes four short double-helical elements and three loops (D, anti-codon, and T loops). Lineage: Archaea; Nanobdellati; Candidatus Aenigmatarchaeota. The record is from RNAcentral.